RNA transcript from Biomphalaria glabrata, 1904 nucleotides. It is a transcript of the gene named suppressor of fused homolog, with no coding region annotated. NCBI's taxonomy places the organism in Eukaryota, Metazoa, Mollusca, Gastropoda, Planorbidae. The transcript has 11 exons. The record is from RefSeq and is a predicted model, not a curated record.
AGAUAAUUGAGGCCUAUCAAGUAGCAUGUGUGUUUAUUGUGUUCCCUUGAAUACAAUUCAGCCAAUUCAAUAACACACUUAGAUCUAGAUCUAGAUAUAGACUUAGACCUAGGUCUAGACCUAGACACUAGAGGAGGAGUGACUAGACUGAGUAGAAUCUGGUCUAGAUCUAGAUCUGGUCUUGGCUCAUCAUUUCAAAUUGAAAAUAGUGAUGGCUCAUGCAGGCCAUACACAUGUCAACGAUAAUACAAAAAAUAAUCAUGGACAUGGUAGUAAUUUUACGUCACCAAAAAAGUUCAAGAUUGUUUCUAAAGAUUUUGGUGUCCAGGCCAUUGAUCGAACACUCAAACGAGUUUACCCCGAACCACUGAACCCCUUUUCAGUCUCAAGCCCGGAGAAAAAAAUAUGGAAUGGUGGGUUGCUGCCACUAGACUAUGUCAAAGUGUUCCUAAAUUUAGGAACCCCUUUCUAUAGAAUACCACACUGGCACUAUGUGACCUAUGGUCUUUCUGAUCUUCACGGGGAUGGUAGAGUUCAUGUGUUCAAAGGUAGAGAUCAGCCCAGUGGCUUUGGUUUUGAGCUUACUUUUCGUCUUAAAAAAGAUUCUAAUGAAAACGUGCCUCCUUCCUGGCCAGUGACAUUGCUGAAUGAUUUAAGUCGAUAUGUUUUUAAAACAGGUAUUGAACUUUGUACAUUUGAUUAUAUACCAUGGUUUGAUGCACUCAAUAAAGUUGGAAAGGAAAGGUCCAGAAAUCCAAUUAUUACACCUUGUCCAUCUAAUUCCUAUAUAAAUCAUAUGAUAGUUGUUAAUGACCCUCAGCUGCUCAGCUUAGAUACUGCAUCUGGGACAGUGAACUUUUUACAGAUAGUUGGUGUGCUCAAAGAAGAAUUUCAUUACGCAAGGUCAUGGAAAACAUCUGGUAUUGUAGACCAGCUUGAAAUACAUCCUCAAUCAGGCAACAUGCUAGUCACUGAUAUCUCACGUAAAAUAUCAGUUUUUGAUCUCAAUCCAAGACUUGUCUUGGAAAUAUUCUCUAAAAUCGAAUCAGAGGGUACGUUUUUAAAUAAAGUGACUUGUCAUGUUUUGUGGAAGGAAAUCACUGAUGAAACAGAUACAGUUGAGGGUCCAGAGAAUGUGAGCUUAAAUGAGCAAGAUGAAUUUCGCAAGAUGAAGUGUGUACAUCUGGAUUUUGAUGCCAAUGCAGCAGAACUUCUGCCAAUAAUGCUAUGGGGACGACUGAGGCAUGGUAGAAACUUUGUGUUCAAUAACCCUGGUUGCUGUGAAGGCCUUGACUGUCUAACCAUUGAGUUUAUACCAUAUAAUGUUCCACCUAGUCCAGAUGUUUAUGUCACUGCCAAUAGCCCAUUGAAAGCCAACAUGAAUAAACACCAUUUGCAGAUCUUUUGCGGUAAAGCAAUUAUUCAAAAAAUGGAAAUGGCAUUCUCAGGAAUGGAGAGACUUAGAGAGACGUGAUGGGAUCAUAGCACAGUGAGAAAGCUAAAACCAUGAAAUUGUGCUAAACAAAAACAAUAGCAAUUAGAAAGUCUUCCCAUGCGCUUCAUGCUCAAGUCAGCCAUGUUUGAAAUUACAUUUAGAAUACAAUCAGUUCUAAGAUGUCGACACAAUACAAAUAGCUAGCAUAAGAGUUGUUUAGGUUAUGAUUAAAUCCAGGUUGUGAAUGGACUCGAUUUCUUUCCUCUAGUUUGUGUCAAUUAUCUUCUAUAUUUUCUUUCUAAAAGACAUUAUGUUCUUCCUUAAUUGCUAAUGAAAUCUCAUUUGAUAAAAGAGCAAAUAUUUCUUUAAUACAUCUAUUUACUCAGUUAUAUGUAUAUAAAAUUUAUUUAUGAAAAACAAAUGUCUUUCAAACAAAUUUUGUUGACAAUAAAUAUAUAUAUAAAUAGAA